UGGGGAAUAUUGCACAAUGGGCGCAAGACUGAUGCAGCCAUGCCGCGUGUAUGAAGAAGGCCUUCGGGUUGUAAAGUACUUUCAGCGGGGAGGAAGGGAGUAAAGUUAAUACCUUUGCUCAAUGACGUUACCCGCAGAAGAAGCACCGGCUAACUCCGUGCCAGCAGCCGCGGUAAUACGGAGGGUGCAAGCGUUAAUCGGAAUUACUGGGCGUAAAGCGCAAGCAGGCGGUCUGUCAAGUCGGAUGUGAAAUCCCCGGGCUCAACCUGGGAACUGCAUUCGAAACUGGCAGGCUAGAGUCUUGUAGAGGGGGGUAGAAUUCCAGGUGUAGCGGUGAAAUGCGUAGAGAUCUGGAGGAAUACCGGUGGCGAAGGCGGCCCCCUGGACAAAGACUGACGCUCAGGUGCGAAAGCGUGGGGAGCAAACAGG
Molecule: ribosomal RNA, 429 nt
Filed under: Chloroflexota bacterium
Lineage: Bacteria; Bacillati; Chloroflexota
Description: Chloroflexi bacterium partial 16S ribosomal RNA
Rfam family: Bacterial small subunit ribosomal RNA
Source: RNAcentral